CCGACGGUGAGGGGUGAAGGCUGGGGGCGCAAACCGGAUUAGAUACCCGGGUAGUCCCAGCAGUAAACGAUGCCAGCUAUGUGUUGCUGGAACCAUGGGUUCCAGCAGUGCCGAAGGGAAGCCGUGAAGCUGGCCACCUGGGAAGUACGGUCGCAAGGCUGAAACUUAAAGGAAUUGGCGGGGGAGUACCACAACCGGUGGAGCCUGCGGUUUAAUUGGAUACAACGCCGGGAAUCUUACCGGAGGGGACAGCAGUAUGAAGGCCAGGCUAAAGACCUUGCCAGAUCAGCUGAGAGGAGGUGCAUGGCCGUCGCCAGUUCGUACCGUGAGGCAUCCUGUUUAGUCAGGCAACGAUCGAGACCCGCAGUCUUAUUUGCCAGCAUGCCCUUUGGGGUGUAUGGGUACAAUAAGACGACCGCCAGCGCUAAGCUGGAGGAAGGAGCGGGCUACGGUAGGUCAGCAUGCCCCGAAUCCUCCGGGAUACACGCGGGCUACAAUGGUCAGGACAAAAGGUACCGACCUCGAAAGAGUGAGGUAAUCCACAAACCUGAUCUCAGUCCGGAUCGAAGGCUGCAACUCGCCUUCGUGAAGAUGGAAUCGGUAGUAAUCGUGACUCAAAAUGUCACGGUGAAUAUGUCCCUGCUCCUUGCACACAC
RNAcentral lists this ribosomal RNA (656 nucleotides) under uncultured archaeon. RNAcentral describes it as "bacterial SSU rRNA". It matches the Rfam family "Archaeal small subunit ribosomal RNA", at positions 691 to 1346 of the family's 1478-position model. The record is from RNAcentral.